This 253-nucleotide ribosomal RNA is filed under the name uncultured bacterium. RNAcentral describes it as "partial 16S ribosomal RNA". It matches the Rfam family "Bacterial small subunit ribosomal RNA", at positions 524 to 776 of the family's 1533-position model. The record is from RNAcentral.
UACGUAUGGUGCAAGCGUUAUCCGGAUUUACUGGGUGUAAAGGGAGCGCAGGCGGUUCUGCAAGUCUGAUGUGAAAGCCCGGGGCUCAACCGCGGGACUGCAUUGGAAACUGCGGGACUGGAGUGUCGGAGGGGUAAGCGGAAUUCCUGGUGUAGCGGUGAAAUGCGUAGAUAUCAGGAGGAACACCGGUGGCGAAGGCGGCUUACUGGACGAUGACUGACGCUGAGGCUCGAAAGCGUGGGGAGCAAACAGG